Non-coding RNA from Potamilus streckersoni, 80 nucleotides. The record is from the annotation of a GenBank genome assembly. NCBI's taxonomy places the organism in Eukaryota, Metazoa, Mollusca, Bivalvia, Unionida, Unionidae.
AACUGUUCUCUGGUGUCCUAAGUGGUUAGAGAACCUGCCCCAGAUGCAGAAAGUCAUGGGUUCAAACCCCAGCCAAGUCA